Molecule: unclassified non-coding RNA, 298 nt
Filed under: plant metagenome
Description: partial contains 5.8S ribosomal RNA, internal transcribed spacer 2, and large subunit ribosomal RNA
Rfam family: 5.8S ribosomal RNA (bases 1-105)
Source: RNAcentral
GAAAUGCGAUAAGUAAUGUGAAUUGCAGAAUUCAGUGAAUCAUCGAAUCUUUGAACGCACAUUGCGCCCCCUGGUAUUCCGGGGGGCAUGCCUGUUCGAGCGUCAUUUCACCACUCAAGCCUCGCUUGGUAUUGGGCAACGCGGUCCGCCGCGUGCCUCAAAUCGACCGGCUGGGUCUUCUGUCCCUUAAGCGUUGUGGAAACUAUUCGCUAAAGGGUGUUCGGGAGGCUACGCCGUAAAACAACCCCAUUUCUAAGGUUGACCUCGGAUCAGGUAGGGAUACCCGCUGAACUUAAGC